UCCCCUACGGGACGCAGCAGUGGGGAAUAUUGCACAAUGGGGGAAACCCUGAUGCAGCAACGCCGCGUGAGUGAUGACGGCCUUCGGGUUGUAAAGCUCUGUCUUCAGGGACGAUAAUGACGGUACCUGAGGAGGAAGCCACGGCUAACUACGUGCCAGCAGCCGCGGGAAUACGUAGGUGGCGAGCGUUGUCCGGAUUUACUGGGCGUAAAGGGCGCGUAGGCGGUUUAAUAAGUCAUUGGUGAAAACUGAGGGCUCAACCCUCAG
RNAcentral lists this ribosomal RNA (267 nucleotides) under uncultured bacterium. RNAcentral's name for it is "partial 16S ribosomal RNA". It matches the Rfam family "Bacterial small subunit ribosomal RNA", at positions 335 to 619 of the family's 1533-position model. The record is from RNAcentral.